Molecule: small RNA, 472 nt
Filed under: uncultured Paraglomus
Lineage: Eukaryota; Fungi; Glomeromycota; Glomeromycetes; Paraglomerales; Paraglomeraceae
Description: SSU rRNA
Rfam family: Eukaryotic small subunit ribosomal RNA
Source: RNAcentral
AGCAGCCGCGGUAAUUCCAGCUCCAAUAGCGUAUAUUAAAGUUGUUGUGGUUAAAAAGCUCGUAGUUGAACCUUGGGCCUGGCUGGCCGGUCCGCCUCACCGCGUGUACUGGUCCGGCCGGGCCUUUCCCUCUGUGGAACCCCAUGCCCUUCACUGGGUGUGGCGGGGAAACAGGACUUUUACUGUGAAAAAUUAGAGUGCUCCAGGCAGGCCUAUGCUCGAAUACAUUAGCAUGGAAUAAUAGAAUAGGACGUGUGGUUCUAUUUUGUUGGUUUCUAGGACCGCCGUAAUGAUUAAUAGGGACAGUCGGGGGCAUCAGUAUUCAAUUGUCAGAGGUGAAAUUCUUGGAUUUAUUGAAGACUAACUACUGCGAAAGCAUUUGCCAAGGAUGUUUUCAUUAAUCAGGAACGAAAGUUAGGGGAUCGAAGACGAUCAGAUACCGUCGUAGUCUUAACCAUAAACUAUGCCGACU